Helianthus annuus (common sunflower) is the source of this 1664-nucleotide long non-coding RNA. RefSeq lists it as uncharacterized. The record is from RefSeq and is a predicted model, not a curated record. The transcript has 12 exons. NCBI's taxonomy places the organism in Eukaryota, Viridiplantae, Streptophyta, Magnoliopsida, Asterales, Asteraceae.
AUUUACAUAUUAACGGGCCAAAUGGAGUUGUCCUUGAUGGGUAUCCCAUUUAUAGUUGUGGUGUAGGUGAGUGCGAUUCUCAAGAACAAGGUUGGCGGCGAAAAGUGGUGUUGUGUGCUUGAGGUUAAUGAUCGUACCUAGCAUUAUGUGAACGGAACCGGAGAGGGAAGCUAAGGAUUCAAACAUCUAUUUUGAUGGAGACGAACUUAGGACUGUUAUUGGUCAAGAUGAAGCUGAGAUUCUGACCUGUUAGGGGCUGAUUGGAGUCACGAUUUUCCAGCGGUUACAAGGUACGUUGGGCUAUGUAAUGAGCGAGGUAGAAAAUGGAAAAUCGUUCAAUGAAGUUGUUAAAGUUGCUAAAGACCUCGGAUAUACUGAACUAGAUCCUCGUGACGAUCUCAGCGGUAUGGAUGUUGCACGAAAGAGGGUUUAAUCCUUGCACGACUUCUCGGCCAACGUAUUGACAUGAAUACGAUAAAGAUUGAAAGCUUGUACCCUGAUAAAAUGGGGCCCGGCACGAUGACCCUCGAAGACUUUUAGCAAAUGGCCUGCCAUUGCUGGAUAAUGACAUUAAAGAAAGAGUCAAGAAAGCUUCUUCAGAUGGGCAUGUUUUGCGCUAUGUUUGUAUCCUACAGAACUCAACGUCCCGCCUUGCUGCCGCUGCGGCUGCUGCUCAAGUAGCGGCUGCAAACCCGCCCGGUAUGGACUUGGAUCUACCGAUUGAUCCUAAUGAACCGACGUAUUGUUUCUGCAACCAAGUUAGCUACAGGGAGAUGGUUGCGUGCGACAAUCCUGAUACAGUAACGGAAGCAAGACAACAGAGAGUCAGCUAGAAGAUCAAGGAUGCGCAAGCAGGCUGAGUGUAAAGCGCUACAAGCAACAGUAGAGACGCUAAAUAACGAGAAUCACUCACUUAGGGAUGAGCUGCAGAGGCUUUCUGAGGCAUGUGGGAAGCUUACCGCUAAAAAUGAUUCGAUGAAGGAUGAGUUAACCCGGUCUAUUGGACCUGAAGCUGUGACAAAACCGGAUGCACAACUUGAAUCUCAAACCAACGAAGGCGACAGUUGACAAGAAAGUUAUUCAAUUAAGUCAACAACCAUUUUUAAGGGAUUUUGACUAUAGGAUUAAUCAAGGAAGUCGUUAACAUUUCGUUAUAGAAUCUCUGGUCCUGAUGCUUGACGUUGUACAAGUUAAGAUUAUACCAGGAAUUAGAAAUGAUGAAAUCUGUAUUAUUGGCGGUUUUGUUUGGAGCGGCUCCCAUUUCUUUAAAUAAAGGAAUGGAGAAGACUACAAAAGAAUUGAUUAGAUUUUUAAAGAGGAAAAUCAAGAAGUCCGCUUGAAGAUGCUGAAAUAAAGUUAUCUAAUUAUGAAAAGGAGCUUAAAGCAUCAAGAAAGCAGCUUCAAGAGGUUGAAUCUAAGUUAUAUGACCGACGAAACGAGCCUAAGGUAUCAAGAAAAGUAGCUUCAAGAAUCUAAAAUCAAUUUGGCAGAGCGUGUAAACUGUUAGCAUAAUAAAGUUAGUGGGCUUGUAUUAUAUUGGGUUUAUUGUUUAGCCCAUUUUGCUAGUAACCCUAGAUUGUUUCUCUAUUUAUAGUGUUACUUUUUUUUGUUUAUGUAAUCACCUUUCAUUAUAAUAAAACCCUAGCCACUACGUUUCCUCUGUA